GGGGUUGUGGCUCAGUGUUAGAGCACUUGCCUGGCAUGUAUGAGGCCCUGGGUUGGAUCUCAGCACCACA
RNAcentral lists this transfer RNA (70 nucleotides) under Marmota monax (woodchuck). RNAcentral's name for it is "tRNA.Ala". It matches the Rfam family "tRNA". From Rfam's summary of the family: Transfer RNA (tRNA) molecules are approximately 80 nucleotides in length. Lineage: Eukaryota; Metazoa; Chordata; Mammalia; Rodentia; Sciuridae. The record is from RNAcentral.